AGGGGCUUAGGAUAACUAAGACCAAGAGCCUUCAAAGCCCUAAGUGGGAGUGAAAACCUCUCAGCCCCUG
This 70-nucleotide transfer RNA is filed under the name Oryzias uwai. Its description in RNAcentral is "tRNA-Trp". It matches the Rfam family "tRNA". From Rfam's summary of the family: Transfer RNA (tRNA) molecules are approximately 80 nucleotides in length. Lineage: Eukaryota; Metazoa; Chordata; Actinopteri; Beloniformes; Adrianichthyidae. The record is from RNAcentral.